RNAcentral lists this ribosomal RNA (775 nucleotides) under uncultured Neocallimastigales. Its description in RNAcentral is "partial large subunit ribosomal RNA". It matches the Rfam family "Eukaryotic large subunit ribosomal RNA", at positions 24 to 616 of the family's 3401-position model. The record is from RNAcentral. Lineage: Eukaryota; Fungi; Neocallimastigomycota; Neocallimastigomycetes; Neocallimastigales.
UACGACUACAUAUCAGGCAUAUCAAUAAGCGGAGGAAAAGAAACUAACUAGGAUUCCCUCAGUAACGGCGAGUGAAGCGGGAAGAGCUCAAAUUUGAAAUCUUCAAGGUUCUACCUUGACGAAUCGUAGUUUAAAGAAGUGUUUUCUGUUGGAAGUUUUGGUAAAAGUUCUUUGGAAUAGGACAUCAUAGAGGGUGAGAAUCCCGUAUUUGACCAUUAUUUCCAGCUUUGUGAUACACUUUCAAAGAGUCGGAUUGUUUGGGAAUGUAGUCCAAAAUGGGUGGUAAAUUUCAUCUAAAGCUAAAUAUUGGCGAGAGACCGAUAGCGAACAAGUACCGUGAGGGAAAGAUGAAAAGAGCUUUGAAAAGAGAGUUAAACAGUACGUGAAAUUGUCAAAAGGGAAGCGUUUGACACCAGUGUUGUUUUCUCGAAAAUCAAUUAAAAAAAGUUGGAUUUUGUGUUGUAUUGACCUUAACAGCUUGCUUCACUCUUUUCCAGCUUUUUUUAAUGCACUUUUCGUUUAACAAGUCAACAUCAGUUUCUUUUGUUGUAAAAGGGUCAUUGGAAGGUGGCUUUCUCUUCGGAGAAAGUGUUUAUAGCCUUUGAUCUCUGCAAUCGGAGAGACUGAGGUCUGCAGCGUAGAUCCUUCGGGGUUAGAUACAUUUGUGCUAAGCUACAGCUUUUCAUAGACAACUUGUUGACUAUGUUUAGUCUUGUGACUUACCCGCUUAUGCUAUUUUACCUACGCUUAGGAUGUUGAGCGCAUGUCUCUCUCU